Molecule: long non-coding RNA, 634 nt
Filed under: Helianthus annuus (common sunflower)
Lineage: Eukaryota; Viridiplantae; Streptophyta; Magnoliopsida; Asterales; Asteraceae
Description: sRNA HanXRQr2_Chr01g0003511
Source: RNAcentral
UUCUCCAACAAAAGUAAGUAUCCUCAUCACCCUCAAUUCGGGUUAAGCCACAAUGACCCCAUUUUGUUAUGAUCGUUGUCAACAAGCUAUUGAGUGUGGCAUCCAACAACGUCUUUAUGCCGUUUAGUGAUCGUUUCCAUCAAGCUAUUGAGUGUGGCGGGCCUCCAACCACGUCUUUAUGCCGUUUAGUGAUUGUUUAAAAAAUUGAGAAACUUGUCUUAUCUUGGUAAGCACUAUUCCUUUACUUUUAGAAAGAAAACAUAAGUAAAGGUGUUUUGCAUUAUGUUUUGAGGAAGAUUAAUCAUAGUUAUAAAACAUAGCUAGCUGAAAAAAAUUGUUUUUCUAACCGUAAUAAUCCUUUAUUGAAAAGGUUAUACUCUUCUUUAUGAUGGAAUCAAGUUAUACUCUUCUUUAUGAUGGAAUCAAGUAAAACAUAGUUAACGACUUAACACGCUACAUACAUGGUCUCCGAGAAGGUUAGAGAUAAAUAGGAAGUGCUGGAUUUGCAAAGGCAUAUUCGAGUUCAAAGAAAUGGAAAAAAGUUGUUUACACAGUAGUUCAGACCGUUGCAUGGUGUAUUUGGAGGGCCUAUAAUGAUUUAGUGUUUAAUCAAAAACGCCCAAACACUAAGAGG